AAUGAACGCUGGCGGCAUGCCUAACACAUGCAAGUCGAACGAAGGCUUCGGCCUUAGUGGCGCACGGGUGCGUAACGCGUGGGAAUCUGCCCUCAGGUUCGGAAUAACAGCGAGAAAUUGCUGCUAAUACCGGAUGAUAUCGCGAGAUCAAAGAUUUAUCGCCUGAGGAUGAGCCCGCGUAGGAUUAGCUAGUUGGAGUGGUAAAGGCGCACCAAGGCGACGAUCCUUAGCUGGUCUGAGAGGAUGAUCAGCCACACUGGGACUGAGACACGGCCCAGACUCCUACGGGAGGCAGCAGUGGGGAAUAUUGGACAAUGGGCGAAAGCCUGAUCCAGCAAUGCCGCGUGAGUGAUGAAGGCCUUAGGGUUGUAAAGCUCUUUUACCCGGGAUGAUAAUGACAGUACCGUAAGAAUAAGCACCGGCUAACUACGUGCCAGCCGCCGCCGUAA
This 449-nucleotide ribosomal RNA is filed under the name uncultured bacterium. RNAcentral's name for it is "partial 16S ribosomal RNA". It matches the Rfam family "Bacterial small subunit ribosomal RNA", at positions 29 to 523 of the family's 1533-position model. The record is from RNAcentral.